GACGAACGCUGGCGGCGUGCUUAACACAUGCAAGUCGAGCGGUAAGGCCCUUUCGGGGGUACACGAGCGGCGAACGGGUGAGUAACACGUGGGUGACCUGCCCUUAGCUCUGGGAUAAGCCUGGGAAACUGGGUCUAAUACCGGAUAUGACUCCAUGACGCAUGUUGUGGGGUGGAAAGCCUUGUGCGGCUAGGGGAUGGGGCCCGCGGCCUAUCAGCUUGUUGGUGGGUGAUGGCCUACCAAGGCGACGACGGUAGCCGGCCUGAGAGGGCGACCGGCCACACUGGGACUGAGACACGGCCCAGACUCCUACGGGAGGCAGCAGUGGGGAAUCUUGCGCAAGUGGGCGAAAGCCUGACGCAGCGACGCCGCGU
This 374-nucleotide ribosomal RNA is filed under the name uncultured bacterium. RNAcentral's name for it is "bacterial SSU rRNA". It matches the Rfam family "Bacterial small subunit ribosomal RNA", at positions 28 to 402 of the family's 1533-position model. The record is from RNAcentral.